GAUUGUAGUAUCGCAUGAUAUAAGCGAAUUAAAGGAGCAAUUCGCUAUAAGAUGGACCCGCGUCGCAUUAGCUAGUUGGUGAGGUAAUGGCUCACCAAGGCGACGAUGCGUAGCCGACCUGAGAGGGUGAUCGGCCACAUUGGGACUGAGACACGGCCCAGACUCCUACGGGAGGCAGCAUG
RNAcentral lists this ribosomal RNA (182 nucleotides) under uncultured bacterium. RNAcentral's name for it is "partial 16S ribosomal RNA". It matches the Rfam family "Bacterial small subunit ribosomal RNA", at positions 159 to 353 of the family's 1533-position model. The record is from RNAcentral.